This 82-nucleotide transfer RNA is filed under the name Clostridia bacterium. RNAcentral describes it as "tRNA-Leu". It matches the Rfam family "tRNA". From Rfam's summary of the family: Transfer RNA (tRNA) molecules are approximately 80 nucleotides in length. Their secondary structure includes four short double-helical elements and three loops (D, anti-codon, and T loops). Further hydrogen bonds mediate the characteristic L-shaped molecular structure. tRNAs have two regions of fundamental functional importance: the anti-codon, which is responsible for specific mRNA codon recognition, and the 3' end, to which the tRNAs corresponding amino acid is attached (by aminoacyl-tRNA synthetases). tRNAs cope with the degeneracy of the genetic code in two manners: having more than one tRNA (with a specific anti-codon) for a particular amino acid; and 'wobble' base-pairing, i.e. permitting non-standard base-pairing at the 3rd anti-codon position. Lineage: Bacteria; Bacillati; Bacillota; Clostridia. The record is from RNAcentral.
GCGACAGUGGCGGAAUGGUAGACGCGCACGUUUAAGGGGCGUGUUCGAGAGAGUAAGGGUUCAAGUCCCUUCUGUCGCACCA